Molecule: long non-coding RNA, 2536 nt
Filed under: Nicotiana tabacum (common tobacco)
Lineage: Eukaryota; Viridiplantae; Streptophyta; Magnoliopsida; Solanales; Solanaceae
Description: long non-coding RNA (NTAB_LNC002246)
Source: RNAcentral
UAAAUUCCAAAACUCAGAAGCGACGCUAUACACUGUUCUUCUUCACCCAAAAUCAUUCCCAAACUCGCCAAAAUUCAGGCGAGUGAACCCAAACUCACAUCACGCGCUUCCCCCCUUCUAUCCUUUUGCCACAUAGUGUAACAGUCUCUGACAACAACAAGAUUCCCUCCCUCACUUGCCCGUUUUCAAGCUAAAUCACGCGGUUAGAAGGCUCGAAAAGACGUGUGUUGGAUGUGUGAGAGCCGUCAGAUCGAUUUCAUUCAAUCCAAACCUCACAUUCAUCAUGUGCUCGUUUUCAAAGGGGCCUUAUCCGAUUUCUUGAAGAGGGAGUAAGAAUCUGGAGGUUAGGGAUAUAAGGAAGCAUUUUCGGAUAAAAAAGGGGAUUCUUUUCAGAAAAGGUUUUUUUUAGAAAUUUAGGAAAGGAAAAAUUCUAGGGUUCUUGGAGUUUCCUUUUUUUUCUUCAAUUUUCGUUGGGAUUUUUAGAAAAAACAAAGAGCAAAAAAUAUAGUCCGAGUUUCAUUUCUUUGAGUUUUACUUCAUUUCAAGAAAAAAUCAAAAAAAAAUCACUAAGACAUAAUUUUCAUAUUUUUUUCUCUUAAUUUCUUGUUCUAAAAAAUGGAGCUUGAUUGAAGUUGAGUUGGAGUUUGCAUUUAAGCUCUAAAUCCUGCUGCUAUUUCAAAUUUCUGUCCGAGCUUCUGAUUUCUACUCAAUUUUGUUGCUGGUUGUGCUGAUAUUAGCUAUUGGAUUUCACUUGUAAUUAGUGUUUAAGCAAAAUUAAUCAAGGCGUUUGCUGAUUCAGGUUCAUCUCUUGGUUCCUUUAAUCUUUUUUAUUUUAUUUCUCUUUUUCUGUCUUCUUUGUGUUGUUUGAAGUAUUGGUAAGAACUAUGGUUGGUCGAAUGGGGUUUUGCAGUGUCUAUAACAUCUUAAGGGUAUAGUGUGUGCUUAAAAAACAAUCUCGAAUGGGUUCGCAUUCGAAUGUAUGUUUCAAAGUCCGUCCUACUUUGAACAGGUUCAUUUGAGCUGAGUUUCUUCCUGUUUUUGUGCUGUUUGGUUAAAGUGAUCGUCCUUCAAAUCGUAUCUAUCUCUGAUUCAGUUUUUUGCUACAACUUGAGUCAUAUGUCUCCGCUAUUUCUUGCUUUAUUCCUUGUGUGGAUUGGAUAUCAGUGCCGAAUUAGCUAAAAGUCGAUUGGUUUAAGUUUAAAUGACUGUGUUCAUUGGUUCCAAUUUUAUAAUCUGGACUAGUUCUAGUUUAAAUGACCAGCUCGACUAAUUCUGGUGUUUCAUUUGCUAUAUAUGACAUGUUUUAUGCUCAAGGUAAUCUGCUCGUACCUAUUGUUUGGUCUCGACAUAUUCGACAUGAAUCACUGAAUAGUUUCCUUUUUCCGUGAUUCCAUGACCAUUUUCGCAUGUUCUGCGGGUUUGAAGUUGCUGAAGUUAUCUUUGAUAUUAUUUGCUCUUUGUGUCUUACCAUGUUUGAGAGGAUCAGUGAGUGUUCAUGUUUCCAGCAUGCCUAUUCUGUUGGUGAACUUCUUGAACAAGAUUCAAUAUGAAAAUUGUGUAGCAGUAUGACUUUGUUUUCUUUGAAAUCAGUUGAUAUUUGCUAGUUGAGCUAUGUGCCUUUGUGUCUUAUUUUCCUAGCAAGUCCUUGUUUGUUUGGCUGAUUUCAGGCUUAAAAUGUGGUUGUAGGGCAAUAAUAAGUAAUGUGAUCGUCUAAUGUUGAAAGAGGAUUCCAUGUAAGUUGUAAUAAAUUAGUCAGUUAGUCCCAUGUAGAAGCUUAAACUUAAUAGGUCUAACCAACAAACUGAGGGUUGGUUUGUAAAGGGACUUACUAAGUUCAAUGUUUGGAUUUGCUAAGUUCAGUAGUGGGUUUUGCUCAAUUUACAGUCAUUUUGUUAAGGAGUUGGAAUGCAUUUUGAGUUGAUCAUUAGCGGUUUGAUAAAUUUGUGGAAUGCAUUUUGCCUGGAUUGUUAGGAGGCCAGUAAUGUUAAGGUCCUAACUUCUGUGCAAUUGCGAGUUUUUUUACUUACUACUCGCGUUGGUGGUAUUGGCUGUUUUCUUUUAUCAUUGAAUACGGGCUUUCUAUUUUGAUCUGUUUAAAGGGAAUAAAUGUCAACCGUGCAAUGUGUCAAAUCCACGGUAUUGGCUUUACAUUUAGUGACCAAGUCUAUUUUUUCUUAAAGAUUGUGGUGUGGAUAAUAUGGCAAAAAAUGUGGGUUUCUACGGUGAUGUAUUGUAAUUAUUUUGUUUGAGACAUAAGUUGAAGACAAUCAUCCUCGAUAUUAACAUUCUUUUCCUGCUACUCUUUCCCUAUUAUUCUAUAAGAAGCUCUGAACAAUGGUACUGGUUGCACAAGCUUAGACCAAUUGUUGGCAUUUUAUGGUUAGGCGAACCUAUAGGCAUGUAAUUAAAUCAUCAUAAAUACGGGUACGAUUCCCGUGACGUCGUUGUGACACCUAAUUUUAAAUUAGUUUUAAUAUGAAUAUCUAUAGUUCAUUUAGUUGAAUAGUUUUGAGGCGUGUCAUUCAUACAUUUAAAU